RNAcentral lists this ribosomal RNA (680 nucleotides) under Salmonella enterica subsp. enterica serovar Minnesota. RNAcentral describes it as "partial 23S ribosomal RNA". It matches the Rfam family "Bacterial large subunit ribosomal RNA", at positions 566 to 1191 of the family's 2925-position model. The record is from RNAcentral. Lineage: Bacteria; Pseudomonadati; Pseudomonadota; Gammaproteobacteria; Enterobacterales; Enterobacteriaceae.
GCCCUGCAAAGCAGCAUCGCGGUGGCGGAGCGUCGUUUGCGACGCCCAACACACAAAACAAGCGGUGAGUGCUUUGGGGUGGGGUGACUGCGUACCUUUUGUAUAAUGGGUCAGCGACUUAUAUUCUGUAGCAAGGUUAACCGAAUAGGGGAGCCGGAGGGAAACCGAGUCUUAACCGGGCGUUAAGUUGCAGGGUAUAGACCCGAAACCCGGUGAUCUAGCCAUGGGCAGGUUGAAGGUUGGGUAACACUAACUGGAGGACCGAACCGACUAAUGUUGAAAAAUUAGCGGAUGACCUGUGGCUGGGGGUGAAAGGCCAAUCAAACCGGGAGAUAGCUGGUUCUCCCCGAAAGCUAUUUAGGUAGCGCCUCGUGAAUUCAUCUCCGGGGGUAGAGCACUGUUUCGGCUAGGGGGCCAUCCCGGCUUACCAACCCGAUGCAAACUGCGAAUACCGGAGAAUGUUAUCACGGGAGACACACGGCGGGUGCUAACGUCCGUCGUGAAGAGGGAAACAACCCAGACCGCCAGCUAAGGUCCCAAAGUCAUGGUUAAGUGGGAAACGAUGUGGGAAGGCCCAGACAGCCAGGAUGUUGGCUUAGAAGCAGCCAUCAUUUAAAGAAAGCGUAAUAGCUCACUGGUCGAGUCGGCCUGCGCGGAAGAUGUAACGGGGCUAAACCAUG